UACGGGGGGGGCAAGCGUUGUUCGGAAUUAUUGGGCGUAAAGGGCUCGUAGGCGGCCAACUAAGUCAGACGUGAAAUCCCUCGGCUUAACCGGGGAACUGCGUCUGAUACUGGAUGGCUUGAGUUUGGGAGAGGGAUGCGGAAUUCCAGGUGUAGCGGUGAAAUGCGUAGAUAUCUGGAGGAACACCGGUGGCGAAGGCGGCAUCCUGGACCAACACUGGCGCUGAGUGAGCGAAAGCCAGGGGAGCAAACGGG
Molecule: ribosomal RNA, 254 nt
Filed under: uncultured bacterium
Lineage: Bacteria
Description: partial 16S ribosomal RNA
Rfam family: Bacterial small subunit ribosomal RNA
Source: RNAcentral